Molecule: ribosomal RNA, 497 nt
Filed under: uncultured bacterium
Lineage: Bacteria
Description: partial 16S ribosomal RNA
Rfam family: Bacterial small subunit ribosomal RNA
Source: RNAcentral
GAUUAACGCUGGCGGCGUGCCUAAUACAUGCAAGUCGAGCGAACGGACGAGAAGCUUGCUUCUCUGAUGUUAGCGGCGGACGGGUGAGUAACACGUGGAUAACCUACCUAUAAGACUGGGAUAACUUCGGGAAACCGGAGCUAAUACCGGAUAAUAUUUUGAACCGCAUGGUUCAAAAGUGAAAGACGGUCUUGCUGUCACUUAUAGAUGGAUCCGCGCUGCAUUAGCUAGUUGGUAAGGUAACGGCUUACCAAGGCAACGAUGCAUAGCCGACCUGAGAGGGUGAUCGGCCACACUGGAACUGAGACACGGUCCAGACUCCUACGGGAGGCAGCAGUAGGGAAUCUUCCGCAAUGGGCGAAAGCCUGACGGAGCAACGCCGCGUGAGUGAUGAAGGUCUUCGGAUCGUAAAACUCUGUUAUUAGGGAAGAACAUAUGUGUAAGUAACUGUGCACAUCUUGACGGUACCUAAUCAGAAAGCCACGGCUAACUACGUG